GGAUCCAGACUUUGAUUCUGGCUCAGGACGAACGCUGGCGGCGCGCCUAACACAUGCAAGUCGAACGAGAGAUGAGGAGCUUGCUCUUCAAAUCGAGUGGCGAACGGGUGAGUAACGCGUGAGGAACCUGCCUCAAAGAGGGGGACAACAGUUGGAAACGACUGCUAAUACCGCAUAAGCCCACGGCUCGGCAUCGAGCAGAGGGAAAAGGAGCAAUCCGCUUUGAGAUGGCCUCGCGCCCGAUUAGCUAGUUGGUGAGGUAACGGCCCACCAAGGCGACGAUCGGUAGCCGGACUGAGAGGUUGAACGGCCACAUUGGGACUGAGACACGGCCCAGACUCCUACGGGAGGCAGCAGUGGGGAAUAUUGCACAAUGGGGGAAACCCUGAUGCAGCGACGCCGCGUGGAGGAAGAAGGUCUUCGGAUUGUAAACUCCUGUUGUUGAGGAAGAUAAUGACGGUACUCAACAAGGAAGUGACGGCUAACUACGUGCCAGCAGCCGCGGUAAAACGUAGGUCACAAGCGUUGUCCGGAAUUACUGGGUGUAAAGGGAGCGCAGGCGGGAGAACAAGUUGGAAGUGAAAUCCAUGGGCUCAACCCAUGAACUGCUUUCAAAACUGUUUUUCUUGAGUAGUGCAGAGGUAGGCGGAAUUCCCGGUGUAGCGGUGGAAUGCGUAGAUAUCGGGAGGAACACCAGUGGCGAAGGCGGCCUACUGGGCACCAACUGACGCUGAGGCUCGAAAGUGUGGGUAGCAAACAGGAUUAGAUACCCUGGUAGUCCACACCGUAAACGAUGAUUACUAGGUGUUGGAGGAUUGACCCCUUCAGUGCCGCAGUUAACACAAUAAGUAAUCCACCUGGGGAGU
This 866-nucleotide ribosomal RNA is filed under the name uncultured bacterium. Its description in RNAcentral is "bacterial SSU rRNA". It matches the Rfam family "Bacterial small subunit ribosomal RNA", at positions 1 to 881 of the family's 1533-position model. The record is from RNAcentral.